UAGGGAAUAUUGGACAAUGGGUGAGAGCCUGAUCCAGCCAUGCCGCGUGCAGGAAGAAGGCGUUAUGCGUUGUAAACUGCUUUUUGCCAGGGGAUAAAAAGACUCUGCGGAGUUUAUUGAAGGUACCUGGUGAAUAAGCCACGGCUAACUACGUGCCAGCAGCCGCGGUAAUACGGAGGAUCCAAGCGUUAUCCGGAAUCACUGGGCGUAAAGGGUGUCGAGGCGGUUGUAUUAGUCGUUCGUAAAAUCUACGAGCUUAACUUGUAGGCGGCGAACGAAACGGUACGACUUGAGGUUUGGAGAGGUGCGUGGAACUCACGGUGUAGGGGUGAAAUCCGUUGAUAUCGUGGGGAACACCAAAGGCGAAGGCAGCGCACUGGCCAAAAUCUGACGCUCACACACGAAAGCUAGGGUAGCGAAGAGGAUUAGAUACCCCAGUAGUCCCUGAGCGGGCUGGCAAGGCGCAU
Molecule: ribosomal RNA, 467 nt
Filed under: uncultured bacterium
Lineage: Bacteria
Description: bacterial SSU rRNA
Rfam family: Bacterial small subunit ribosomal RNA
Source: RNAcentral